ACCCGCUGAACUUAAGCAUAUCAAUAAGCGGAGGAAAAGAAACCAACAGGGAUUGCCUCAGUAACGGCGAGUGAAGCGGCAAGAGCUCAAAUUUGAAAGCUGGCCCCUUCGGGGUCCGCGUUGUAAUUUGCAGAGGAUGCUUCGGGUGCAGCCCCCGUCUAAGUGCCCUGGAACGGGCCGUCAUAAAGGGUGAAAAUCCCGUCUGGGACGGGGUGUCUGCGUCCGUGUUAAGCUCCUUCGACGAGUCGAGUUGUUUGGGAAUGCAGCUCUAAAUGGGUGGUAAAUUUCAUCUAAAGCUAAAUACUGGCCGGAGAACCGAUUAGCGCACAAGUAGAGUGAUCGAAAGAUGAAAAGCACUUUGAAAAGAGAGUUAAACAGCACGUGAAAUUGUUGAAAGGGAAGCGUUUGCGACCAGACUCGCCCGCGGGGUUCAGCCGGCAUUCGUGCCGGUGUACUUCCCCGUGGGCGGGCCAGCGUCGGUUUGGGCGGCCGGUCAAAGGCCUCGGAAUGUAUCACCUCUCGGGGUGUCUUAUAACCGAAGGUGCAAUGCGGCCUGCCUGGACCGAGGAACGCGCUUCGGCUCGGACGCUGGCGUAAUGGUCGUAAAUGACCCGUCUUGAAACACGGACCAAGGAGUCUAACAUCUACGCGAGUGUUCGGGUGUCAAACCCGUACGCGCAGUGAAAGCGAACGGAGGUGGGAGCCCCCUCGCGGGGCGCACCAUCGACCGAUCCUGAUGUCUUCGGAUGGAUUUGAGUACGAGCGUAGCUGUGGGACCCGAAAGAUGGUGAACUAUGCCUGAAUAGGGCGAAGCCAGAGGAAACUUUGGUGGAGGCUCGCAGCGGUUCUGACGUGCAAAUCGAUCGUCAAAUUUGGGUAUAGGGGCGAAAGACUAAUCGAACCAUCUAGUAGCUGGUUCCUGCCGAAGUUUCCCUCAGGA
Molecule: ribosomal RNA, 940 nt
Filed under: Thermoascus aurantiacus var. levisporus
Lineage: Eukaryota; Fungi; Ascomycota; Eurotiomycetes; Eurotiales; Thermoascaceae
Description: eukaryotic LSU rRNA
Rfam family: Eukaryotic large subunit ribosomal RNA
Source: RNAcentral